GGGGAUUUAGCUCAGUGGUAGAGCGCUUGCCUAGCAAGCACAAGGCUCUGGGUUCGGUCCCCAGCUCCG
Molecule: non-coding RNA, 69 nt
Organism: Rattus norvegicus (Norway rat)
Lineage: Eukaryota; Metazoa; Chordata; Mammalia; Rodentia; Muridae
Source: Rfam